UAAGUGUUAUGCAACUAUGUUGCAAUGUGAGCUAUGCGUAUGAAUUAAAAUUUACUUAACUUUUCAAGUGUUAUGGCAAGGUUUUGUCUUACUUAUGCUAUUUUACAUGCAUACAUGUUGAUUUAUGUGCAUAUAUUUGAUAUUUAUGAGUUUUGUAUAAUCUUACGAUUAUACAAUUUACGGUUUUACUUCCCCUUACCGAUCAUGCGUAAAAUCUAGAUUUUGACUACCUUGAAUGAAUCAAUUGUCCCGUCCCUUGUGAUGUAAUCCAAACACAUUCGUAUAGUAACUCCACUUACUAUUUUUAUUUUUUUUGCACAAUCUCCUCUCUACUUUUCGGGAAAGCCUUAAGUAAAAUUGUCAUAGGCUUGUAUUUUUCAUACCAUUGGGAGCCCAAGGAAAAGUUGUAGACCCAAUCACCCAAAGUAACCAAAUCUAUGUAUGCGGGAGGAUACAUGUGAGGGUAUAUGUGUUAGAGUGGGUGAGUGGGGAAGUUAGGCAAUUUGUGAAAUCAUAUCUAUUCUUAUGAUUCCCUCUUGUAUCGACCUUCCUGCUCUAACAUUUUUCUGCUUUCUAAAUCUUUCUGUAACUCUUUCAAGAAGACUAUUUGGUGUUGAUUUUCUUGUUAUUAAUAAAAUAGUACUUCCUGUUCUUCCAAAAUUUGGUUGAAUUGCAAUAUUACACCAAGAUAGUAAGAUACUUCAGUGGAAGGUACUAAAACUUUUUAUUUUAAUAAUAACACAGUGGAAAGUGUAGCCAGAAAAACAAAUAGAGCACAAGAAACCAAUGUUACAUAAUUCUAGUCUAAAUUUUUCCAGCCAACAUCAACUCACUUAAUAAAUAUGAAAAGAUAGAAACUAAAUGAAAAACAUAAAUAAGACUAGGAAUGGAGUCGCAUGUACUAGCCUGCUCCAUUGAGAUGCCUACAGUCUCCAAAACCUUUUGUUGUAUGUCGCGUUUAUAAAUUCUCAAACUCCCCCCUCCAAUCUGACAAAGUAUAAUAUAUUGAGUGAGUAUCAGUCUCAAAAUUGUAAGGCUCGCAAGUUAAAGGGAGAGGAAAGAAAAUAGAAAUUAAUCUCGAUCACCUCCACCCCAUUGUAAACCAUGUCAUAAGCCAAUGCACGAGCCGAUGCAAGGUUGUUCAUGUCUUCAGGAUUUGGUGCAGUGAAAGGAUGAUGAAGAGCCUGCACAAACCCAUAAUUAAGAAUAAUAGAAAACAUAACCAGAUAUCCUAUUUAUUAAGAAAUGCAUUGCUGGAUGUUAUUAAAAGCAAAACUGACCUCAAGCCUCUGCUCCGAAUCAUUCCACUCAAACAUUGGAAAGUCGGUAAUCCACAAAAUUGAAUGUCUGGCCUAAAAUUCAAACAAAAAUAACUAGAUAACAUAAGUGAAAUGAUUAUUGGAGAAAGAUAGAGAAAAAAAUUCAUUUAAAAAGCAGAUACCAACUUACAUGGUCUAUCAAACCUAAUUCAUGAGCCACAUAAACUCUAAGACGAUCUAGAGUUUUAUUUACAGAUGCAUGAUGACCAACUGCAAAUAAAAUCAGAUCACUUGGUCCUGCAGAGCAUCGCCUUAAUAAAUCCUCUCUAGUUGCAGAAUCCAUACUUGAUACUAAAGCAGAAAUUCCCUCAAUAUCCCCUAAAAUCAAAGGAUUACACAAUAAACACAGGAAUAUAACAAACAUCUCUCAAAAUAUCAUAAAAUUGAGUUUUGAUAGGGAAUUGCAAAUUUACCAUUCUCCGUGAUCUUGAGAAAAGGUAAACCCUUUGCACCAGAUUUGUGUGCUUCAUUGUAAAUACCACCAUUUGCACCAGAUUUCUUAAGAACUGAAUUUGAGUACUUUUUUGCACCAGAAGGUACACAAAUUACUUUAAUAACACCACCACACUCCAAGGAAUCAGAUAAAACCUUGAAGGAAGACCCUGAGAAAAUGUCAGAUACCUGCCAGCCAAUGAAAAGUUAUAUCUUAGCAAGAUGAAGCAAAUCUAGGUAAGUUAUGGCAAUACAAACUAAAACACAAGCAGUGAUUCAACACAGGAUUACAGCAAGCUAUAUCAUAGAAACUACCAUAUGCUACAAACCACAAAAGUAAUAUGGAGGAGGUGAAAUAAAGAUCAUUACAUCUUUUAAUUCUAGAUCAAAUCUGGUAUCUGGACGGUCCGAACCAUAUCUAUUCAUUGCUUCAGCAUAUGUAAGCCUGGGGAAAGGGUUUGGUAAUUCCACGCCCUUAAUUUCAAGAAAAACCUGCAAUAAAAACCAACUUCAAAAUUAGCCAUAAUAUACAUGAUGAUUUUUAUGGUUUUCUUUAUGUGAAACCACGUCCACAAAAGAUCUAUAUCAAACAAAAUCUACAAACAUUAACACCUUCCCAUUUCAACAUAUAUCUUUUCUUGAAAUAAGUGAGACUGCAAAUAUCAACACCUGCUUCUAAAUCUUUAAUAGUAUCAUUUGACAUUUCAAAUCACCAAAAGAAGUUAUCAUCUGUUGAUACCUUGUUCCUCCAUUCUAAAUUUUUAUUUAAUAUAUGUUUCCAUUACUUCAAAAUUGUGGAUAAAAUGAAUAUGAUUAUAGAUGGCAUAAACUAACCUUUCUGAUCAACUCUUCAUUAAGAGACAACAUAUCCUCUAAAGGAGUAAAAGCCAUCUCCAUAUCUAGUUGUGUGAACUCAGGUUGUCUAUCAGCUCUUAGAUCUUCAUCCCGAAAACAUCUGUAAAAGGUAAAUUGCAUUUGAUCCAGAAAGAAAAAUGGUCACUUGCAUCACAAUCUUUUUAUUGUAAUUUUGGUUUAGCUUAUAAAAGCAAGCAUUCUGUAUUCUUGGUUUAUGUAAAUCACACAACCAAAUGCUUUUUUUAUGGGAAAAAGGGAAGAGUUUUUACAAACCUCCAUAACAUAAGCCAGGAUACAAAUAACCUUAAAAUAAAUAAAUAAAAUAAAAGAAUAUUAUACCUUGCUACUUGAUAAUAUUUAUCAAAACCAGCUACCAUUAGCAUUUGCUUAAAUAGCUGAGGGCUUUGUGGCAAGGCAUAGAAUGUUCCUUGCUUCGUAAUUCAUGUGACAGAAUCAACAAAACGUAAAAUAAAUUACAUCUCUUAAAAAAUAGAUAAAACAUUCAUAUUGCUUUUCAGCUUAGCAAUGCUCUUCUCAUAAAAGAUGUUAUGCCAAUAAAAUAAAAUAAAAAUUCAGUGGCAUGAUACAAACAACUUACUUAUGAAAAAAUACUACAAUUUUUGCAAUCAUUUCUACACAGUCAAAACACAACAGAUAUAUAUCAAAGGACGGUCCUUUGUGCGCACAUGCACAAGGCAAAUCUGCAUACGUUCUACAUUAAUGCCAUUGAGGUAUAGGUAGUAAAUAUCUUUUGAAGCUGGGAUCAUAAAUCCUGUCAACUACUAAAUUCAACAUUGCAAUAUCCAAUUGACCGUUUGAAAAAACAAUUAAUUGAUCUGAUUAUGCAAAAGAUAAAUCUAAUUGCCUGCAUGAACUUCUGACGAGACCAAUACUUUUAAAGUCUGUCAACUUAUUUGCUCUAUUGUAACUAAAAUCCAUACUAAACAAAGAGAAAGAAAGACUAGUAAAAUGUUAGACAAAUAUAAUGAAAUAACAAUCUCAUGCAAUAGGUGAAAAAAUCUAAAUACCUGGAUUCUUGAUGGAACUAAAUAAUCCCGGGCACCUUCUGGUGUGGAUCUUGACAGUAUUGGAGUUUCAAUCUACCUUAUGAACAAAAAAGGUAAAGAUCAACACAGGAUACCAAAUACCAACAACCGAAGUACGAUGUGCAAUAGACUCAAAAUUUCAAAAGAUGAACCUGCAGGAUAGUACCUCCACAAAACCAUGUAUGUCUUCUAGAUAUCUUCGUAUGAGUUUAACCACAUUAUGCCGCAGCAACAUGUUAGAAUUCAUUUGUUGCCUCCUUAGAUCAAGAUAUCGAUACCUAAAAAUUCUUAAUUGUAAGCAAUAAAUCUCUAAUCUCAACUCGUCAAUAAAUUACAAUUGGAGGUAAGACAAAUGAAAACAUCAACCACAAUCAAACAUGUGUCAGCAGAACAUUCAACCACAUCAUUAAACUUGAUAAAAUAUCAUAAUUUUUACAACCAAAUGAGGAAUUAAUACUAAAAGCAGUCAUUUGGUAAAAAAAAAAAUACCAAAAGCAGUUAUAGAGCAACUUAUAUUAAAACCACACUCAUGCACGAGAUGUACUAGGAUGAAACAAUACAAACAAAAGCCAACCAAGGAGGCAAGCUGGACACAGAACAGACAAAACCAAGAACAAAUCCCCACAAGCAAAAUUUCCAGCAGUAGCACACAAGCAAUACUUGAACAGGCUAAAAAUGUACCUAACUCCUUCGCACCUAACUCAUACAACCAAAGAAAAGCCUCCCACCAGAAUAACUAACAGACUUCACCAAAACUUGAAAUAGUAAGAAAUUCUCCACUUUCAAACUCUAUUUCAAGCUUCAAAAAUAAAAACUCAUCACAGCUUCCACCUAGAUAUGAAUACCUUACAAAGCAAGGACAUGCCUUGCAUAACCUAGACAUUACAGAUUUCAACAAAGGAUACCAUGAAAAACAAAGACAGAAUGCUGGUCUUACCGGUGAAAAACCGUGACAGUAUGCUGAUUGCAGACCGGAACAGCCCAGACCCGUUGAUCUUCAAUAGUUCUAAUUUAAUUUUGAGUAUUGUAAUAUUUUAAAUUGAUCUGUGCUGCAUUAUGUUAUAUCAGUCGGUGUUGAACUUAUGUAUAUUUUUCCUAAUGCUUGCUGUUUAUGUUUUCUGAGUGUAAAAUAAUCAAUUAAUGAUGACUUUUUUUAGGGUACGAGACUAAUGUAAUAGUUGAAUAACUAUUGUGCAACACUAGCUCAAAGUCAUGGCAGUAAAGGAUGAAUAGCACUAGAUCACAAGAUUGAGAACAAAUCAGGGCUGUGUUAGACUAAAAUCUGAUUAGAGUUUUGAAGGCUAUCAAUUAGAAACUCUUUCAGCUCCAUGUAAACUACCUAAUGCAGAGCUAAAGCAUUAGAAAGACACUAUUAACAAACAUUGUGGUCUAAUAAUGAGCAUCAUAUGAUGCUUGGUGAAUAGCAAUAAUGUUGAAUUUUUCUAAGGGUCUGUUUGGGAACGGGGGGUUUGGAGGGCUAAGUCUAUAUUUUGAUAUAUAUUUGGCAUGUUUAAAAAAGUAAAAGAACAUCAUGAUUAAUGAUCAUAUAAUAAUAGUUCAAUCACACUUAAUUGAUUUAAGAAAACAGUUUAUAGUGUUCAUAAUUUAAAAAAGAAAAUGAAGUCCUCCCCUCCUAACCCCUCUAUCCAAAGAGACCCUACAAUUUUUGUUCUGCAAUAAAAUAUGGAUUUUGACAUUUCUACUUUGUUUUGCUUUGGCAUGUGUUUCAGUGAUACCCUCAGUUGAUUAAACUAUGUUUGCCUUAUGAAGCCAGAAAUUGAAGUCGUUAAUAUUACAUGUCUCUAUGUUUUGGAAUUUUGCUCAACUAUAAUUUUAACCUAGGAAUCUAAAACUAAAACACUUACAUAGUACGGAAAAUUCUGAUAGGCUCGGCACAAAAUUAUCGCAUUUGAACUAAAAUUAACGAUAAGUCUGAAAAGAAAUUUAGUAAAUAAAAGACUUAAUAACAUGUAAACAUGAAGAAUGGCAUUGAAAGAAAAAAGCAAUAAAACCUAAAACUAGUGAGAUUGUAACUUGUAUGAGAAACCAAUAUAUAUAUAUAUAUAUAUAUAUAUAAAUAAGCAAUGACAGGAAGACUUACCUCAAACGGACUUCCUCUCUAAGAGAAUCUUUGGCAUGAUCAGUUGUAGUAACUAAGAAUGGUAACUUUGCAUUGACAGAAUUUAAAAGUUGAACAUCAUUAGCAGCAAUCUCGAUGAAGCCGGUUUUGAUCUUGUUGUUGAUUGAUUGAUUUGGACGAGGCCUAACAAUGCCUUGAAUGGCAACCACGUACUCCAAUCUAAGGUUAUUGAUAGCAGAAUGUGCAACAGGAAAUUCAUCUGGAAGUGUUGUAACCUGAACAAUGCCGGUAUGGUCUCUAAGAUUGAGAAAAGUGAGUCCACCAUGGAGUCUGUGAAGUGCAACCCAGCCACAAAGACGAACUGUUUUGCCGAUAUCGUUGGAAGAUAAUUCGCCGCAAUGAUGAGUUCUUGAAACCCAUUGAAGGGGUUCGUUGAGUGUUUCUGUUUCAGAAGGAAGUGGUUGUUGCUGUUGUAUUGAAGCAGAAACAGAAGAAAGGGUUCUGGUUCUGGUUCUGGUUCUGGAAAUUAAAGUUGGAAUGGUUUUGGAAAGUCUAGAGAGAAAGAAAAUUGAUGGGGUCCGUCGAAGGGUCGUCAAAGGUAAUGCUCUAAGGAAUAGAGAAGACAUAUUGUUCUUCUUCUGUUCUGCGUUGAGAAAGGGUUAGUAACAAAAUCAAUUAAUAUUCCAGAAAACCAUAAUUUUGAAGAAUGACCAAGAACUGAGAAGUAGUGGGUUUCGCUAAUCAAGUUUCUGAUAAUACCUUUUCGGAGGCGAUGUGAGAACGGAUGGAUGGAUGGAUAACUCCAACAAAAUUGUUUUUCCGACAAUCAAAACUUCAUUUCCACACAAGUAAAAAAUUCUAAAAUGUCUCCAGCGGCAGUUAACAACUGUUGGGUAAAGCGCCGGCAGUUAACAACCGCUGGCACCAACGGUAGUUAACUGCCGUUCAUACCGGUAAACUAGAUCAGGUUAUCCGGGAGAAUUUUUCUUGUUUUUACAUCCAAUUGCAAAUUAAAGUAAACAGUCAGGAUAUGUCGGGAAAUUAAAACGUACGUGCAAAAUAAUAUUUAACAGAUAAAAUUAAAACACAAGAAAUAAUAUAAAGGUAUGUUGGAAAAUGUCAUAGAAAUACCAAAAUGUACGGAACAUGUCAUAAUUAUACAUCACAGUCAAAAAGUACAUAAAAAAAAGCCUAAUCACAAUCAACCCUACUGCCUAGCAUGCAUCAGCCCCCUGCGCCACCUAGCAAUCUGAUACGUAAGGGCAGGGCGACCGGUACCGGCUAUCCGCAUCACCUCCUGGACAAUCUCCUCUUUAGUCAUCUCGGCUUGCCUGGCCACAAUAUCAUCAGCUAUAUGCACCACAUCCUAGAUGAUCGUCAGUGUGUCAGGCGUCUCCUUGGCAUGCUCCUCCUCUAUGAUUUGCUCCACGUCGUCGGCCUGGGAGGAGAUCCUUCAUCAGGUGGGAGAAUACGAGGGUGAGAGACUUUGGCAUACCAAGUCAUGUAGCCAGGCGAAUGAUGCCAUGGUCUCUCUCACCCAUCUCCCCAAGCAGUGAAUAACCACGCCUGAGCGUCCAUCAACACAGUGGUUAGCAACUGCGUAGGCACCUAAGGGACAUCUGAUGGAUGUCUGGGAACGUCCUGUACAAAGGAUAACUGCCUCUUUACCCGCUCAGGUAAAUGACGGUACACCCUCUCCUUCCCGAACAUGAGCCAUCCCGAGUAAGUGCACAGAAGCUGAAAUGGAUGCACGUCUAUGUGAUCACCAUAAGUAGAAAACUUGACGUCAUCCACCUCCAAGCGAUCCUGGCAUAAGCGGUAAUGGUGCACAUCUUUAUGCCCUCUGCUAGUAAGCCAUCUCCCAACACAUGGUCUCUCCGGCUUCCACCCCAGGUUUGGCUUCCUUGGGUAAGGACCUGGCAAAUGCUCCAAAAUCCAUCCCUGCAACAAAAUAAAUAAUACACAACAUUAAUUAUUCGAGUUAAAUAUUCAAUGAAUCUAAAACAUUAUAAAAUAAUCUAACAUAAUAAUAAAAUUUAUAAAAUAAAUUCAUAAAGAAAUUAAGAUAAAUAUUAAAUUAUUACCAUAAAAAGAGUCGUACAAAUCAGCCAUCGUUCUGUUAUUCAGGAUAACAGAAUCAUCCAGAUAAUCGUACAAGUAAGCUAAGGUCAUCCCUCCCCAUGACCACUUCCCAAUCGCCUGCAAGUCCGCCGUGCAAUCAAGAUAUAUCAAGUCGAUGUGUAUGUUCGUUUUGUUAGUGAACAGCGCACAACCGACGAGAUAUAGAAGGAAACUCCUCACACACCACACCCUCCUCCUGCCUCUCUCCUGCAGCUCCUCCCUCAUUUGUGGCUCCUCAAGCCGUCCAGCCUCUGUCAGGUGGUCCUCAUAUACCCGCUUCGGUGAGGGAUAACUGAUAUGACCAGCAGAUUGAUUCUUAACCUCAGCCCUAGCAUCAGCAUCUGACAUGUCCAACAACCUGGUCAUCAAAUCAAUCGAAAGGUCUUGAUCCAUUGCCUCGUCGUGCUCCAGUAUGCGGCCGUGAAUAGGAAUGUGUAGGAGAUUAUGCACAUCGUCCAAAGUGAUCGUCAUCUCCCCCACAGGUAGAUUAAAACUACUGGUCUCCGUGUGCCACCUCUCAUAGAGAGCACGUAUCAUGGCAUGGGUCACAGUUGAAUACCCAGUGUAUAUCAAAUCAUGUAGGCCAGACCCCUCCACAUGCUCCUAAAACCACCUCAAACCCGCCUCCGGUUUAUCAAGCUCUUUCAUCUUUUCCCUGCAUUUAUACUCUUGUAACCCACUUCAUCAUACCACAUCUGAAAUUCAAAUUAAUUAAGACAUUGUCACUAUUUUAAAUAAUUCAAACUCUUACGCUACAUAAUAUUAAAUAAUUAAAUCACUUACGCUACAUUAUUUUAAAUAAUUAAAAUCACUUACGCUACAUAAUAUUAAAUAAUUGAAACACUUACGCUACAUAAUAUUAAAUAAUUAAAUCACUUACGCUACAUUAUUUUAAAUAAUUAAAUCAUUACGCUUCAUAAUAUUAAAUAAUUAAAACACUUACGCUACAUAAUAUUAAAUAAUUAAAACACUUACGCUACAUUAUUUUAAAUAAUCACUUUAAAUCAUUUAAAGAAUUUUAAACAAUUUAAACACUUACAUUAUGAUGGUUCAUCCAAAGAGGGUUCGCCAUGUGCCUCGCGUAGUCGGACAACAGUGACAUGGUCUCAGGUCCUCUAGGAAAGGGAGGCCCUCCAACAGGAUACGACAGUAUCAACGGAACACGACAACGUCGUGGCUGAGUCUGAGGCUCAGGCUCACCCUCAGGAACUAGAUUAUCUGCCUCAAGAUAAUCCUCCACAACAUCAUGUGGCACCCCCUCAUCAUCUCUCACCUCCUCAUCCUCUGCCUCGUCCUGCGGUGACUGAAAAAACAUUCUCUCCUCCUCCAUCCGAUCAUAUCCAACAAAACCCUCAUCCGCAUACCCAACAUAAUCAUGCGCUGGUGUCGGAUCAACCACCUGGGAGGAGUAAUCCACCUGUGCCUGUGAGCCCUCUCCAUAUAUCCUCGGGUCCCUGCGCUUCCGAGUCUUAUGGACAUACGGGUUUUGAUCCCCCUUUUCUCUCCGAGGCUAGCGGUACUCGCCACUUUACCUUUCCGCAUCCUAUCAUCUCUAAUAACCCGUUACUUCUCAUCCAUAUCCCUAGCCAUAUCUGUACAAAACAAAUUUAAAAAAACAUAAAUACGUGGAACAAUGGUUCUAACCUAAUCUAACUUAUGUAUUCAUCAAACCUAAUCUAACUACAUUAUCCUAAUCUAACUUAUGCAUUCAUCAAAUCUAAUCUAACUACAUUAUCACAUUAUGGUUAUUCUACAUUAUGGUUAUCAUUAUGCCAAAAUUAUGGAGCAAUGUUCUAGCCCUUACAUUAUCACAAAUUAAACUUAAGCAUAUAUGAUAAAUUAAACUUAGGCAUUCAUAAAAUUUAAUAUAACACAUUCGUCAAACUUUAUGUAACAUACCACAUUAUGUCAUUCAUCAAACUUGCCAAAAAAACAAACUUAUAAACAUCAUAACAUAUAUGCAUUACACAAAUAUACGGUUAUUAUAUCAUUAUGUCCAAACUAAUCAAACUUGCCAAAAAAAAAAAAAAAAUGCAAACUUAUAAUCAUUAUAACAUACAUACAUUAUAAAAUUGAACAUAUUUGCAAAAAUAUUACACAAAAAGAGCAAGAUUUUCUCACUUAGGCAUUUCAUCAAACACCUUUUGUGCGUUUCAAAAUACUAGCACAAUUGGUGUUAAUUCAACUACAUUGUACCUAAACCUACUCUAAACAACAAUGCCAACAAAAACCCUACAUUAUAACAUCAAAUUCUAACAUAAUUUUCAAUUUCAAAAACCUAACCUAAACACUAAAGUUUUGCUAAAACUAUGAAAACUAACACCCUAAACAACCUACAUUGCAUGUAAAUAGGAAGAAAAUAACUUACUUGUUAAUUACUUGAAGAAAGUUGGCUCAAAUCCGUGCAAUUGAAGUUGGGAUGAAGUUGGUUUUGUGUUGUUUUGAACUUGUAACCAGAAACUGGAAGUUUUCUGCGUUCUUAAAAUACAUAAUGCAGCGAUAGUUAACUACCGCUGGGACCAACGGCAGUUAACUGCCGACGGUUUCUUCAAUGGUAGUUAACUACCGCCAGGGGCCCCAACGUAAUUUACUUGUGGCAAUGUGAAAUUUCUUAUGUCAAAAAAGCAAUUUUCUAACUCCAGCGUCGUCGUCACUCUUCUGAUAUGUUGCUUUACAAGCCCAUUUUCUUAUCUUAUAUUUUCAAUUUCAGAAUUUCUUUUUCCACCCUCCAACUUUCUUGUACGCGAUCAUUUUGAAUUUAUAAAAUCCAACGGAAUGAAAAGUUUUUAAGGAUGAUGUUCCAAUCUUAGGUAGUGAAGACUCCAAAAGUAGUAUUUAUAAAUGAAUUUACAUUUACCCUCUUCUAAGAAUACUAUCAAGGUUUAAAUCUAAAUGGUGUGUUUGGAUUGAGGGUUUAGAAGGGAAAAAGAGGAGAGGGUGUUUUUUCAAGUCUAAGGUUGCUAACAUGUAACUCUAAUGAUUUUGAAAUUAUCUAAUUUACAACGAAUGAAAUGAAUUUACAUUUACCCUCUUCUAAGAAUUUAAAACUGAAUUCAAGUCUUUUUUUUUUACCGCAAAACAAAAUUCUUAGAGGUACAUGCUAGCAAUGACUUGUUCACUCAUUUCAUUCGUUGUAACUUAGAUAAUUUCAAAAUUAUUGGAGACGUGUAUCUAAGAAAAAUAUGAUUAUAAUCAUCCACCCCUUAAUAUUGUAUACCAAUGUGGUACUUCUAUGUGGUGAUGGUGGUUUUUAGAUUUCAUAAUUUCAACUAUGUUAUAUUAGUUUCAAUAACAUAGUUUCAAAUUAUAAAAUCUAAAAUGUGUCAAUAACAUAACAUAACAGUUGCAAAUUCAAUUAAUAAAAAUGACAUAAUUUAAAAUUGAAAACACAAUUUUAUAAUAUAUUUACAUAACAUCAUCAUCAUAUUCUCUUAAUGUGGUCAACAUUAUUGUGACCUAGAAUAACAUUAAAACUGAAUUUCAAUUAGCAAUUUAGUUUGCUCAUGAUAUGAGUUUUGUAAACAUUACUAUAUAGGGUGUUUCUCUUAAUAUAGUCAACACUUUGAAACCAUCUUUUACAACAUUCUAACUUUGGCUUUGAUAUUGUAAGUGUUUUAGUUUCUCGUGUUAGAAGAACUGGUAAUGCUCAUUCUCAUUCUAAGUUUGCUUUAGUUUCAAUUGAUUAUGUUUGAAUCGAAAAAUUUGUCACAACCAAUUUGAUUCACUUUUAUUUGAAAUCGAUUUUCAACCAAAAAAAAAAAAAAAAACUUAUCCAAAUCGAGUCCAUUUUUAUUUUAUGAUGUAGACCCGCAAAUGAAUAAAUUUGCAUCCCUAUUAAAAAAAACAAACUUAAUAUAUUUUUUGUUGACAGGAGCAACAUUAAUAUUUUCCUUUAGGGACCAUAAACAACACUAUUUCGUCUCGUAUCUCUUGCUAGCAGAGCAACCAUUAAUUAACAAGGUGUUCACGAGGGGAAGAUUACAAACUAAAAGUGUCGUUUUUGUAUGUGGCCUUUUUUUUAUGCCAAAUAAAUAAAUAAAUAACUAUGGAGAUGGUUAAUUUGUCACACUCUCACUAGUCACCACCUACUUAGUUUCCAGUCUUUUCGUUCGCUUCACGGGAUGCCAAUGUCUCCAAACUCAAUUCCAAAACUUCACAUAAAAUAAGCCAAACAAUUUCCCAACCUUGUCUACAGUUGUCAUUUUCAUAACUAUUUCUUGAAGGUUGAUCAUGCAAUUUAUCUAUCUGGGUGAAAGAUGUUACGGGUUAAUGUGGUUUACAUUUUUAGGGACAUACAUUCACAUCUCGUGAGGGAGUGAAAAAGUUGAUACCCUAACAAUUCGAUAUGUUACUCUUUUUCUUUUCUUUUUUUGAGGAAAGAUGCAUUACUCAUUGUUUUUUUUUUUUUUCUUUCUUAAAUACGUUACUCAUUGUUAUUCAUCAAGAUUCAACUUAAUUUCCGUUGGUUGAUAUCCAUAACAAAUUGAUAUAUCAUAAACUAUAAACCCACCAAACAAGUAACAUUUGAAAAAACUUUAUAAACACCUCUACUUAAUUAUGAAAUGAUUAUUAUCAAACACCUCUAGUUAGUGUAUGUUUAAUUUUGAGUUAAAUGAUUCUAGAUAAAAUUAAGUUUUUUUUUUUCCGACAAUGAUAAAAUUAAGUUGAAUGUUUAUAUACAACUAAUUUUAACAUGAAAUUUAAAACUAAAAUAAACUCUAGAAGUCAAAAACUACAAAUUUUUGUUCAUAGAAUCAACUUUACAAACAAAAUCAAUUGUCUUUUUGAUCAUCCAAACACGAUAAAAUCAAUUUUGCAACAUCUAGAAUUAUUUUUUACCACCAAAAUUAAAACCAAACAUAUGCUUAUUCAUGCUAACUUAUAUAUGAUAAACUAACCAUUAAAUUAGAUAGCAUUUUCGUGAUGUCAAAGAGAGCCAUAGUGUAUUACUAUAGUCAAUUGGAUUCUAUAUUUGUAAGAUUGAUUAGACUACCAUAAUUUCUUAUCAAACAAAAAGUUGUGACUGCAGGUCCCCUGUCUCAUUCAUAUCUUCAUGCCAUGCGUUUUUAUAUUAGUAUUUUUUUUAAAUGAUCGAUAAAAAAAAAUAAAAAAAAAAAAAAGUUGAACAAACAUCAUAAUUGAAUUGAAAAGGAAAAUAUUUGUGCAUGGAAACAUUAUCAAGAAGGUAUCAAUCAUAGACAUCCAAAUCAAUAAAAAAAAUAGUGGAAUCCAAUUGAUAAAAUUUUACGUGGUCCCUCCAAAUCAUGUCAUUGCAUUAUAUGGUUGAAGAAAAUAUCCCUGAAAUUCUAUAAUGAUGAUAAUCAUAAGAGCAAAUUGUUUAUGCUUGCAAUUUUCCAUCCUAUUAUAUCAAUAGUAACUUGCAAGUGAAUUUCACUUGCCCAAGAUCAUCAUUACAUGUUAUAUGUCCAGAAGUUUGAGUAUAUGUCUGAUCAAUCUCAGCUAUAUAUUCCCGAGUCAAGUAAAGGAAUAGCAAAUUUUCCAGCUAACUCAAGUCCAAAUUAAUAUUGUUAGAAAAUAAACAAACUUUAUUCUAUGAGUGUUGUAGCAAUGGCGACUGUUAAACAAGACGAACUAUAAUAAUUCGAAUAUUCAUCAUGCAUGGGACCUCCCUCCCCAUCUCAUUAAAUAAACAAUAGGAUAAAUUACAUUUUUUUAUCCUUUUGAGCACCUUCAAUGGUGCAACCCAAAUGUAUAGUUUAGUGGAGUCUACAUUGCCACGUUAUCUUAAAGAACCACAUUCAUGUUUUGCUUCAAUGGUACAACUUUUUUUUAAUAGACGAGAUGUCAAAGCCAGCAUAAACUUACACACAUAAAGUGGAGGUAUCAGAGUUCGAACCCUAAUCAUGACGUUCAGCAUAAUAAUUUCAGUAUCUUUUACGAGUUGAGCUAGAACUUAUGGACAACUAUACAACUUUUAAAUACUUAUAUCGGAUCUACCAACUUUAACUCACUUAUUUAUAUUGUAUUCAUAUUUAUUUUAUUACAAUUCACAUUUUAAUAUUGUAACUUUCAUUGAGAAAUGUGUCACAAAAAAUGACAACAUACUCCAAUAGUAAACAAGUUCAAAAUUGAGUCCGCUUCUUAAAAAUCUAACCAAGAACCUCCCGUUGAUGGUGAGAUUAUUUAGGUUUUAUUUUGAUCUCUUAAGUUGUUUCUAUUCUAUUUUGACCUAUUAAAUAACAAAUGCCCAGUCAUUGAGCUGUGUUUUUUAGGACUUCUCACUAUCUAUAUUCUAUAUGAGGAAGUAUUAAUGGUAAGCUAUAAAAAUAACAACUUACUCCAAUAGUAAAGAAGUUCAAAAUUGAGUUCGCUUCUUAAAAAUCUAACCAAGAAUCUCCCGUUGAUGGUGAGAUUAUUUUAGGUUUUAUUUUGAUCUCUUAAGUUGUUUCUAUUCUAUUUUGACCUAUUAAAUAACAAAUGCCCAGUCAUUGAGCUGUGUUUUUUAGGACUUCUCACUAUCUAUAUUCUAUAUGAGGAAGUAUUAAUGGUAAGCUAUAAAAAUGAAGGAUCAUAUUCCUUAAAAGCAAAUGAAGGAUCAUUAAGGAACAUGGUAGAAAAUACUUGAGAUGAUCGAUAAGAAUUCGCAAAUUGUAAUCCUAAUAAACCAAUAAUACUCUCUCUUUUUCUUUUUAUAAAAGCAUGCAACAAAAAUCGUUGUUAUUAAAAAAUAAUUAAAUAUGGUUUUUUGUUCAUAUAAAUAUUUUAUUUUUUCGUUAUAGUUUCUCUAAAAAGAUUAUUUUUGGUCGUCAAAAAAUAUACAUUGUCACUUUUAAUGUAUACUUUUGAGUCAAGUAAUAUGUAAUACUCUCUCCGUCCCAUAUUAGAUGAUCUAGUUGACUCCGACACACGUAUCAAUGCAUAUGUUUUAUCUUUGAAAUCUUCAAUUCUCUACUAAAAAAAAUUAUGAAAAUUUAAUAUUUUAAAAAUAUUCAUUAAGACGAAUUCAACAUCUUACAUGAUAUUAUUUAUCUUUGUGAAUUAGUAGAAAAAUAUGGUGAAAGUAUGUUAAGUCAACAAUGUAUAUUGUCAAAUAGGUCAUCUAUUGAAGGACGGAGAGAUACUAUUUAAAAUUUUAAAUGAUUUUUUAUAAGAAUAUUUAGAAUAUUAUAAGAUAGCAUAUAGUUUGUUGGCAUCGAGUAACUAUCUACGUUGUUGUUUAGAAAUUCUAACUCAACUGUCAAAUACCGAAAUUGUAAAGAUUGGAUGUCGUGACCCGAAUUCGAACCUGAGACUUCACAGUUGUGUGUAAGUUUAAUUUCAUUGAAUUACUACUUCAUAUAAGACAAAAAAAACUAUGUACCUUGUUUUUUUUAGACAUGGGUUAGUACGCAAAUAUUAACCAUCAACAUCCUUAAACAGACGAAAUUACACCUCAAAAAUUGAUACCAAACAGCUCUAAGGAAUAAAAUUAUCUUUGGUUAAGAUUGUGGUGGACAAAGACAGACUUUUCAAAGCAGUUUAAUUAUGAAAAGGAAAAUUUGAGUGGGUUCCUCCUAAUGAUACCAACUUGAAAUCAAAUUAAAGUAAAGUUAAGAUAAUUAUGUCAUUGAAAAUAAGUUUAUAAGAUCGUUUCACUCAAAGGUAACAUUAAAGUGAAUGCUUUAAUAUCGUUUUUCAUCUACAGUUAUUACCUUGAAUGAAAUAAAUAAAUAACACAAUUUAGAGUGGCUCUAAUUAAAGAAAGAUUGAAACGCCUUUACCUUCAAACGAUACGAUACAUUUUAAAUUGUGGCUUCUUUUCCGUAUAUAUACACACUUCAUAUAUUCAUGCUCAGAAGUCUCGUGAAGAAGCCCACAUGCGAUUGUUUUUUCUUGCUACCAAGUAACAACAAAGCUAUAACCAAAACCAUAAUAAUAAUUUACAUUCACCAUUCACAUUUCACGUCUUUCUCGUUCACACUACACUUUAAUUAACUCAACUCAACUCAACAAUAAUUCUGAAAUUGGAAGAAAAAAAGUAAUAAUAAUCAAAUCAAACGGUCACAAAUUGAUCGAUCAAUUCAAGGCAUUCCUUUUUGUGCGUAACCAUUAACAAGUGCCAAAGCAUUACUCGUCAACUUUUUCACCUUUGAGACACGAUUCUGUACAUCCGCUUUCACCGGACAAUCUUCUACAUCUUGAAAUCCAUCCGUACAUGUUUCUUCAUCAGUAAGCGCCGCACUCAUCCACGUCUGCACGUUACUCAUCUGAAACAGAAACGAAUCUGCUCCGGCACCGGCGCCAGUUCCGGCGGCUCCAAUCUGCCGCAUCUGUUUAAGCGAACCACGGAUUUCAUCAACAGCAUCGUCAAGAUUUGAGAAACAGUCAUGGAGAGCGAGUGUGGCGCGUGAACUACCGCUGUAAUCUGCUUCGCGAGUGAGAUUGGAGAGAUAAGAGGCAGUUCGGUGGACUUUGGAGAAGCUUACGGCUAUGGCGAUGCGAGCGAGUUGGCCAGGAUUCUGUUGAACUGCAUUGGCGUAACGAGAGAGGGAAGUGUAGCAUAUGUCAGGGUAGAGUGUUGCGUUGCAACUUGAACGGAUGAAUUCGGCGUCGUCGUUGGUGGUGGUCGGAGGUUCUGCUCCGGUGGCGGUUGUCGAACGGAGAUUGGAGAAUGUGGCUGCGAAGAAGAGGAUUGAUAAUAGGAGGAAACUGUGAGAGCAUUGGGUUGUCAUUGUUGCUAACUGUUUUUCUUUUGUUUUUAUAUUUUGUGCGUUUGUGACUGUGUAGGGCGAGUUCUAAAUGGCGAGGGUUUUGUAGGCAAUAAUUUUUGGUAAAUUACUUCAUGGUCGCUAGCUUUUGGUUUAAUAUCCACAAUGCCAUUAUAUAAUUUUAUAAUUAUUUUUAUUUUUAUUGUUUUUUUACAAUAACUUAUAUUUCUUUUCUUUUGUUUGUCAAAUAAUAUACCAAACCAAACACAUCUUAUGCAUAUCAAGAUCCUUAUUAAAAAAUGUCGGAAUUGUUGGCUCAUAUGUGGUAAUUCAGGAUUAAACCUCAGCUCUUCCAUACAUGUGUGAAUAUUCGAUGACUAUUAUUCGUCUAGCUAAAAAAGUAUUUAGUUUAGCUUUGGUUUUUCAAUUUUAUUCAACGUGCACCAAAAGAACUAUAUCUAAUAUAUGAUGGAUUUAAUUGUUAUUAGAUGUUUGUUUGGAUCGACUAUAUGUUUUGCAAAAUUGCAAUAGUUUUUUAGUGUAGUUUUGUCAAAAUUGAGGUAGCUCUUUCA
This 17073-nucleotide long non-coding RNA is filed under the name Medicago truncatula (barrel medic). Its description in RNAcentral is "long non-coding RNA (MTRU_LNC006726)". The record is from RNAcentral. Lineage: Eukaryota; Viridiplantae; Streptophyta; Magnoliopsida; Fabales; Fabaceae.